Molecule: ribosomal RNA, 253 nt
Filed under: uncultured bacterium
Lineage: Bacteria
Description: partial 16S ribosomal RNA
Rfam family: Bacterial small subunit ribosomal RNA
Source: RNAcentral
GACGAACCGUGCUAACGUUGUUCGGAAUCACUGGGCUUAAAGGGCGCGUAGGCGGUCUGCCAAGUCAGGGGUGAAAUCCUUCGGCUUAACCGGAGAAGUGCCUUUGAUACUGGCGGACUUGAGGGAGGUAGGGGCAGAUGGAACUGGUGGUGGAGCGGUGAAAUGCGUUGAUAUCGGAAGGAACGCCGGUGGCGAAAGCGAUCCGCUGGCCCUCUACUGACGCUGAGGCGCGAAAGCCAGGGGAGCAAACGGG